AUUACUUUUGGUCCAAUAGUUGAAAAAAAAAUUGUUCUUGAAACAGCAGCAAAUGCUUUCUCUUUCGUCUUCAUCUUUAGUAUCGUUCGGUGGAAUUGCAAAGCCAUUUUCGGCUCCGGUCAGGUUAAAGUGUCAGUAUACUCCUUUGAGAACAACAAUUAAUAACCCUUCUGAUUCAAUGGCUUCCCCAAAAUGGGCUCAAAAAACUGUAACUCUUCCUCCUCAAAGGCGAGGCUGUCAUCUUGUUACAUCUAAGAUUAUGAAGGAAAUUAAUCAAGAGAUAGCAGGCUUCAAAUGUGGCCUUGCUCAUCUUUUUCUGCAGCAUACAAGUGCUUCUUUAACUAUAAAUGAAAAUUACGACUCAGAUGUUCGAGAAGAUACAGAGACAUUUCUUAGUAGGGUUGUCCCAGAGGGGACUUCUGCACCGUGGAAACAUACUCUUGAGGGGCCAGAUGACAUGCCCGCUCACAUUAAGUCAUCGAUGUUUGGCUGCAACCUCACGAUACCGAUCACAGAUGGAAAGCUAAACAUGGGAACCUGGCAGGGCAUAUGGUUGUGUGAGCACCGUGAUUCUGCUACCCCACGCAGAAUUGUGAUCACCCUUAAUGGAAUGUGAGCCGCUAAAGUGAAAUGUUAAAGAAGACAAUGAGCUACCAACGCCUAUCUUACUGAAACGCGCACAUGUAAUACUAUAAACACUCUCUGGUUGUGAUGUUUUUCUAGUCCAUUUCUGUCUAUACUGAUGUGUGUGUGAUGAAAGCCUCUUGGCCAUUUCUGUUAUAAAACCACUAUGUAGUUUCUGUGUCCCAUUUUCAUUAUGACCAACGAGUUUGUACAUGGAAGUUAUCGUUCCAGCGUUGCAUCUUUUUAUGGAGCAGAUUAGCACCAUAUGUGUUUUCAUUUUCAUGUAAUGAAG
RNAcentral lists this unclassified non-coding RNA (916 nucleotides) under Hevea brasiliensis (rubber tree). Lineage: Eukaryota; Viridiplantae; Streptophyta; Magnoliopsida; Malpighiales; Euphorbiaceae. The record is from RNAcentral.